CUCUUUCAAGAAAUCGGCAACUUGGUCUCUCCACACCAAUGCAUCAUAGUCAAUGAGUGCCUUCUCACUCCAACCGAACCCAAGUAAGUCCACGGCAUACACCUUGUACUUUUUAGCCAGUUCAGAGACCUCCAGUGGAAAGCUGAAGCACCAAAACCAUGAAUAAGAACGAUCGGAAAGCCUUCGCCUUCUUCAACAUAAUGAAUUUUGUGUCCU
RNAcentral lists this long non-coding RNA (216 nucleotides) under Helianthus annuus (common sunflower). RNAcentral's name for it is "hypothetical non coding rna". The record is from RNAcentral. Lineage: Eukaryota; Viridiplantae; Streptophyta; Magnoliopsida; Asterales; Asteraceae.